This 276-nucleotide ribosomal RNA is filed under the name uncultured Bacteroides sp. Its description in RNAcentral is "partial 16S ribosomal RNA". It matches the Rfam family "Bacterial small subunit ribosomal RNA", at positions 64 to 339 of the family's 1533-position model. Lineage: Bacteria; Pseudomonadati; Bacteroidota; Bacteroidia; Bacteroidales; Bacteroidaceae. The record is from RNAcentral.
CAGCAUCAUCAAAGCUUGCUUUGAUGGAUGGCGACCGGCGCACGGGUGAGUAACACGUAUCCAACCUGCCGAUAACUCGGGGAUAGUCUUUCGAAAGAAAGAUUAAUACCCGAUGGCAUAGUUCUUCCGCAUGGUGGAACUAUUAAAGAAUUUCGGUCAUCGAUGGGGAUGCGUUCCAUUAGGCAGUUGGUGGGGUAAUGGCCCACCAAACCUUCGAUGGAUAGGGGUUCUGAGAGGAAGGUCCCCACAUUGGAACUGAGACACGGUCCAAACUCC